This 257-nucleotide ribosomal RNA is filed under the name uncultured Bacteroidota bacterium. RNAcentral's name for it is "uncultured Bacteroidetes bacterium partial 16S ribosomal RNA". Lineage: Bacteria; Pseudomonadati; Bacteroidota. The record is from RNAcentral.
GAGUUUGAUCCUGGCUCAGGAUGAACGCUAGCGGCAGGCUUAAUACAUGCAAGUCGAGGGGCAGCAGCUUUAUAGCAAUAUAGAGGCUGGCGACCGGCAAACGGGUGCGGAACACGUACACAACCUUCCUUGAAUAGGGGGAUAGCCCAUAGAAAUGUGGAUUAAUACCCCGUAAUAUAGCGGUGUGGCAUCWCACUGUUAUUAUAGUUUCGGCGAUUCGAGAUGGGUGUGCGGCUGAWUAGGUAGUYGGCGGGGCU